CUGGCAUCAUCCAUCAUCGCUCUGCUCCAUUCAUUCUCCUUCUCUCCCCGUUGAGUAUUUCAUACCAUCCUCUCUCUCCUUAAACCUCCAAUCCCUCCCCUGCAUCCUCAUCGCCCCUGAAAACCUUGCUAUCUAGUCACUGAAAAUGUGGGAAGAACUGAAGUCAACCUCCAGACUCCUGUCCCCACAGCUGCCUUCCCACCGAUUCUAUUUUCAAAUUCUCUACCUCUCUCCUGUGCUUGGCUUCUGGCCAAGACCAGCUCCCAUUCCAUUCAACCACUGAGGGACAGCACCCGCCCCCCACCACCCCUGCUCUCUCCUUCAUCCUUAGUUUUCCAUUUUCUCCUGGCCCAUUCCUCUCAACGAGCAAAUCUGCUAUGAUUCCAACUCUUCGGGGGGGAAAAAAAAAAGGAAAAGAAAAGAUAAAAUGUUCUGUGUCCUACCACCUGCUCCAGAUACUUAUAUUGACUGUUCUGGAAAGGAAAGAACCUUUCACCUUCGCCCCCUCCCAUUCCUUUCCUUAUCCGUCUCAUCUUGCCCUUUGGCUCCACCAGGCAUUCUCGUCGAGGUGGGCCUUGCCCUCCAGAGCACCAGGGUCAGCGGUGAGUUCUCAGCUCCCGUCCUGCUGGACCAUGAGCAGCCUCUGGCAGCACUGAUCACUGCCUUCCUAUUGAAAUACUUCCUUCGCGAGAGUCCAGGACCCCAUGGUCCCCUGGGUUUCCUCCUUCUUCACUGUCUUCUUUGCUGGCUCCCCUUUCUCUCACCAACUUCUCAACAUUGGAGGCCUCUAGGACUCAGCCUGGGCAUGUCUUCAGUUGUUUCACACAGCCCCUUGGUAAUGUCAUCCAGAGGUCUGGCUUUAAAUGCAAUCUACAGGGAAGCGACUCCAAAGUUCUAUCUCCUCCGAACUCUAAAGGACAUCCUUGAUAUGCCGCUCCCCUGCCUAAGCCCUUCAGUGACUCUCCUCUGCCUGGAGAAUGAAGUCCCCAUUCCAGAAUGGCACAGAAAAGCUCUUUUAGGCUCUGCCCCACUCCUUUCAUUCUCCCUUUAUUUCCCAUCCUCACUCUCAGCCUGGCUCUGCCAUGCCCUUUUGUAAUCCUCUGGUUCUGCAAACAUACCAAGCAGCCACUCCCCUCCAGCCUCUGGUUGUCAUCCCCACCAAGGACCACAGCAUCCUCCUCCUCUCCUCCCCUGCUUGGCUAACUCCUACUUCUUCGGCUCUCAGGUGCCUCUGGUCUCAGGGACCAAUGUGAAGGCAGAGGUCCCUCCUAAAGCUCAAACACACCCUGUGCUUGAUUCUGGCACAGAUAUGACCGAGCUGGUCCAUUUCACAUCCAUACAUGGGACUGUGAGGGCAGACACUGUCCCAUCAAGGUGGCAUCUCAGAGAAGACUGUGUGUUGCCCUUCCCUAUAACAUAACCUCAGCCCUGGUUGAGGGGGCACUGUACCCAGCUGCCUCUUCCACCUCCUUAGAGGCAGGGGUGGCCAUGCCUGCAGUCCUGGCCAGUGGGGUGGAGACUUCAUGCUACUGGGAAACCUUUGCUCUCCUAAGAGAACCACGGCCUCUUUCACUUUCCCUCCCAUGAUAUGAAGCCACAGAUGACUUGGCCAAUUGAGACCACAAACAAUAAGCCACAUGUUAAGGGCAGAGGAACAGAGGGACAGAAGGAAGCUGCUGACAUCGUGGAGCCUCUGGGUCUAAACACUGGAUGUCGGUGAUGCGGAAACAGACAAAAAUGCCCCUCCUGUUAGGCUAACCUGCUCUAGUUGUGUCACUGUGAUCCACUGCUGAACACAAUUCUAACCCAAACCAAGUGCCAGUGUUGGCAGAGCUCUUGGUGUCUGGGAGAUGAGACAGUGUGAUUGAUGAAGGAACAGAAGGACCACUCACCAUUCUCCAAAGCCACAUGCACUUAGCCUUGGCCUGGCCUGCCCUCCUCUCCGGUCCCUCUCCCGCCCAUUCUCAUCCACCCAAAGGAAAGCCCUUUCAGAUUCCAGUAGGAAUGCCCUCUCUUCAAGUUGGCACUGACCCAUUCCAUCUUAUGUGCUCCUAGAAUUACUCUUUUUCUUUCUCUCUCUCCCUCUCUUUUUUUUUUUUUUUUUUUUUUUUUUUUUUUUUUUUUUUUGGUCUUCUCAGGGCUGCACUUGUGGCGUAUGGAAGUUCCCAGGCUAGGGAUCAAAUCGGAGCUACAGUGGCCAGCCUACACCACAGCCACCACAAUUCAGGAUUCGAGGUGUGUCUGUGACCUAUGCCACAUCUCGCAGCAACUUGGGAUCCUUAACCCACCGAGCGAGGCCAGGGAUCGAGCCCACAUCCUCAUGGAUGCUAGUUGGGUUAGUUACCACUGAGCCAUGACAGAAACUCCUAGAUUUAUUCAUGUUUAUCAUCCAUCUGCUAGUUAACCCCCUGUGGCUGGUGUUACAGCCAUUUGUGGUUGAUUCCGAACUCCACGCUUAGAAGGCCUAGGGAGUAGGUCAAUGUGUUUGUUUACCACCAACACCCGCUCUGCUUCCCACCCCCUACAGACCCUGGAACUCCGCCUACACAGCAGAGAUAAUCAAUAAACAAAAUUUUUGGAUGAAAACUGUGGCACGCAGCAGCCCAACCCACCCCCUCCAGGAGCUCAUUGCUGACGUGUCACCCACACGCCAUACCACUCUUCCUAUGACAGUUCAUGCUGCCUUGUUUUUGUUGCCUAGAAAUACAUUGCAAGUUCAAGUUUAGCAAGAAGCACUUCCAAAUCCGUGUCUCUGCUCUCGCCUCCCCAUUCCCAAGAUAUUGUCAGUACCUUGGAGAUAGUGGGAGCAGAGUUAUGUGCUGAUCAAAUGCUUGAUUGGGGGCAAAAGCUGAUGAUUGCUGCAGGCGUUGGAGACAUAACGUCUGCCUCUCUUUCUCUCUGAAGGCUUUCCAAACUUAGAGGGUGGUUUUCAGAGCCUUGAUUCCAAGACCCCAUGCAGAGAUUCCAGAAGCACUCAAGCGCCUGGCUUUUAUUUCUUAAAGCAGAUUUCCUAGAACUCAUCCAAGUUCACGGUGGCAUAGUCUCUUUUAACCCAUUGUCCUUCCCAUAACUCUUCGCCAAAGCUCUAUUCUCUCACCUACUUCUUUUGGCGCUUUCUUUUCUCAGCUGUUUUCUAGGUACAAAGAAACUUCCCAUUUGGGAGGGAAAAAAAUCCUUCGAGGACUUUUUAUAGGGGCUGCCCUGAAACUGUAAUUCAUGACAGACUGAAACCUUUCAUCCUUUAGAGCUCAAAGCGGCAAAGAGUCCCCAGGGGACAGAAGCAUUUGGCCAAUGAGUUUGGCCAAACUCUGUAUCCUUGAUUCUUAGAAAUAUAAGCCCGUAAGUUGAUUGAGCAGCAAUACCUAAGUGCCCAUCUGGUUCUGGGGCCCAAGCUCAGGUAUCUCAAGGACCAGGGAGGUGAGAUCAAUGAGUAAUGUUAGGUUCCCAUGAUAAAUGGCAAUUGGCACCCACCUUUAAUUUUGGAGAUCAUCUUUGCCUGGAUUGCCAAGAAAGCAGAGCCUGAGGAAAAGGCUUGCAUGCCCUGAUUUUACCAAGGAGAGCAAGAAUAAAGGCAAGAGGAGUGAGGCAGAGAGAGACAGAGAGACAAUAUAAGGACACAUUAACAAGCUGGCCAUGCUCAAGGGCAACUUAAUGCUCAAUUUUGUGAAACCACCCCCAAGAAGCUGCAGAAACUCUCUGUCUAGAAGAAGAGGAAAGAUUUAGCUACCAGAUGCAAUAUUCCCUGUGUCAACCGUUGGCCCCACUGAGCACUAAGUUCCCCUCCCUUCUGGAGUAAUUCACGAGUGUCUAAAUACAUCCCUCAGUUUCCCAUGUCUUGAUGGCCACAAUGCAGGAGGUGAGAGGUAGGCAGCAGGCAACACAGACAAGAAUCCAGGCCCUCUCAGGUAGUGCCCAUUGGAGCCUGUGCGGAGCUGCUCAUCACUGCAGCAGGAAAAUAGGUGGGUCAGGCCAAGGCAUGCGAAGUGGUGCCUAAGAUAUGCCUACGCCAUCCACCCCUGGCCGCAUCCACCUUGACUUUCCAUUGUAUCUGGCACACAAAAUACAACACAAGCCCUUCUCUUUUGUGGGCCGAGGACUUCCCCUUUUGUUCUGAAGGAGAAGGUCAGUCGGAGUCCCCUUGAAGACAGAAGCAGACAUAACUUUAAAGAGACUAGAGGCAAGAAGAUUGUGAAACAAGCUACAGUCCUCGCUGCUGUGCCUGACCCUGAGGCUGUAACUGAUGCUCACCAUCUUCUUUCUCCACCCUCCACUUCAGGUUUCCCUCAACCUUGGCCGGUACUUUGGCUGGUCUGGAGGGCUAACCUUGUGGGAACCGGCCUUUCAUCCCUAAGGAGUCUGGGUUCCAGUGGCCUUGACCUUGCUGAGUUAUGGUUAUCGUUAUCAUAGAAGCACCAAGAGAGACCCCAAUGAAUCUUCUGGGUUUCAGACAUACUUCUCCCUGCUCGCAUUAGGUUAGCAGACCCACUAGCUCCUCGGUCAUCAGAGUUAAUAAUCCUGCCAACAGAGUGACUACUUUCUGUACUUACUGGUUCGCUGGUACAAAGAGCCUGGAGUAUCUGGGUAAUUACAAGUUCAUGUUCCAUGGUACCUUUACUUUGUCCUCUGGCAGAAGCAUUUUCCACUCAGGAACCAGGACCUCUAACCUGGAAGGGUCUACGUACAGGAAAAGGACGCCCACAUUUCUCAAGGAUAAUGGUGUGAGAAGCAAUCUUAUUUCUACUCCUUGAUUCCCAGUUAUGUGCAUUCGAGCCAUAUUCCCGUCAUGGCACAGUGGAAACAAAUCUGACUAGGAACCGUGAGGUUGUAGGUUCGAUCCUUGGCCUCGCUCAGUGGGUUAAGGAUCCGGCGUUGCCAUGAGCUGUGGUGUAGGUUGCAGACGCGGCUCGGAUCCCACGUUGCUGUGGCUGUAGUGCAGGCCGGCAGCUGUAGCUCCAAUUUGACCCCUAGCCUGGGAACCUCCAUAU
This 4985-nucleotide long non-coding RNA is filed under the name Sus scrofa (pig). RNAcentral describes it as "lncRNA (ENSSSCG00025012528.1)". Lineage: Eukaryota; Metazoa; Chordata; Mammalia; Artiodactyla; Suidae. The record is from RNAcentral.